RNAcentral lists this ribosomal RNA (262 nucleotides) under uncultured archaeon. RNAcentral's name for it is "partial 16S ribosomal RNA". It matches the Rfam family "Archaeal small subunit ribosomal RNA", at positions 718 to 982 of the family's 1478-position model. The record is from RNAcentral.
AGUCACACAUUAGAUACCCGCGUAGUCCCAGCCGUAAACUAUGCGCGUUAGGUGUAUCGGUGACCACGAGUUACCGAGGUGCCGAAGGGAAACCGUGAAACGUGCCGCCUGGGAAGUACGGUCGCAAGGCUGAAACUUAAAGGAAUUGGCGGGGAGCACCACAACAGGUGGAGCCUGCGGUUUAAUUGGACUCAACGCCGGGAAGCUCACCGGAUAGGACAGCAGAAUGAUUGCCGGGCUGAAGACCCUGCAUGACUAGCUG